RNAcentral lists this long non-coding RNA (201 nucleotides) under Carica papaya (papaya). Its description in RNAcentral is "long non-coding RNA (CPAP_LNC002322)". The record is from RNAcentral. Lineage: Eukaryota; Viridiplantae; Streptophyta; Magnoliopsida; Brassicales; Caricaceae.
UGCGCGUGAGAUUUGGGCCGUCCGCACGCGUGAGAUCUAGAUUGUUCGAUUGCGUGCACGCGGAUCGCCCCCGUGGCUCCGUCCCGCGUGGCCUCCCGCGUUAGUCUCCUUGCCACGCGGCGUAUUCUGGUUGGCCGGGACUGCUGACUGGACUGCUUGUGUGGCUGCUGACGUGGCACAACUUUGCUAAAUUACGUUUUG